AGCUUGGAUAUAACCUCUGACCUGUGUUCUUAUUUUCCUUUCUACAGGAUAUGGAUCAACAACCAUAGGCAAAAUAUAGAAAUUGGUUAAAAUAACUCAUCUCAGCAAGGGGAAAAAAACCUAAAUGAAAGGAAAUAUGAACACAGGUCAGAGGUUAUAUCCAAGCUAUGAUACAAAAUUAACAGAGAAAAUUUAUGAAGCAGCAGCUAAAGGAGGUGGCUUUCCAUGAAACACAGUCGGUGGUGAUGAUUCACUCAUCUCUUCUCCUUGCCCCUCCUCAUCUUCUUCUUCAGCAUCCCAUAGAAACCGAGCAUAUGAUGCUAGCACAAAACAAUCAUUAGGGGCCGCUUUAACAGCUUGAUCGAAAUAUGUCUCAGCACGAGAAGCAUCCUUAUGCCUCUGCCAUAUCAAAUCAGCGUACAUAGAUAAAACGUUUUCAUCAUUGGGGUUUGCUAAGAUUGCUCUUCCACAGUACUCUUCAGCCUUUACAUAAUCUUUUUGAACCUCUUUCAAGAAUUUCGCAUAAUUGCUGAGCAACAGCGAAUUCCCCGGAUUUGCUUCGAUCAUUUUUUGAUAAUAAAUAUCUGUACUAUCAUUCCCGCUAUUUGAAUCCCAAAACCCAGAGUUGCCAUCACCUCCGCUGUCCGAUCCACCAUUCCCACCACCUCCGCCACAGAUUUUCCCGCCACCACUACCAAUUCCCCCAGCCACCAAAAGCCCCAGCAACCCAUUAUCUUUCGUCCUAACGUCGCACUCCUCAUUUAACAAACUAGAUUCCAUAGACAAACCAGGACCCAUCAACGCCGUUUUCUCGUCUUCCUCCUCAAGCGUGAUCCCAUCCAUGAUUUUGUUGACGGGUUUCUUCUUCGGCACCGAAAGGUGUUUGAGAUCGUUCUCAGAGAGGGCUUUGGUCAUUUUCUUGAUCGACUCAUCAUAAGAGGAAAUAGAAGACGAAGAGAAUGAACAGGAACAAGAAGCUGUUAAAGCAAGCGAUCGAGUUUUGUGGAUUUGGUGAAAGAUUUCAGGCUCUGGUGAGGAUUCUUUGGAGUGAGGGAUCCAUGAGUUAAGUAUUGGCGUAGAUGCGCUUCGUAGAAGCAUCGUUAAUGUGUAUGCAAUGUAUGAUCACCAGCAGAGGCGAGAGAGAGAGAGAGAGACUGAGAGAACGCGUUUCUUC
This 1174-nucleotide unclassified non-coding RNA is filed under the name Hevea brasiliensis (rubber tree). The record is from RNAcentral. Lineage: Eukaryota; Viridiplantae; Streptophyta; Magnoliopsida; Malpighiales; Euphorbiaceae.